Molecule: non-coding RNA, 466 nt
Organism: Monodelphis domestica (gray short-tailed opossum)
Lineage: Eukaryota; Metazoa; Chordata; Mammalia; Didelphimorphia; Didelphidae
Source: RefSeq, a predicted model, not a curated record
AUCUUCUCCACUAUCUUAAUCUAAGAAUUUAUCUAUUAUAUCUCAGAAAUUAAGCCACCAUAUGAAGACCUCCUAUGACAGGGAAUGAAUUAAAUAAUGUUAGGUCAUUUCAUUUCUAGGAUGCUUCAAUUAUUAAAAAUUCAGCAUGAUAUGGUGUCCUUGGAGACGGAAAAACCUGGAUUCAAGUUUUCUGACAUGUAGUGGCGGGUAUGAUCCUAGGGACUAUGGCACUAGAAGAUUCCAACUCUUGUAGCAUCAUUAGCGGACUAUUGCAUGAACAAAGGCAUUACUGAAAUACUGGUAUAGUGGGGAAGACACUUACCUUUCCUGGAUCUUGGUAUUCUCAAGUGUUAAUUGAAGAAUUUGAUCUACAAGGCCUUCCUGAGGUUCCUUUUAACUCUAGAUCUGUUAUUCUCCACCACCCAUUAGAUUGCAAGCUCCCUCGGGUCAGUGUUUUUAUUUGUAU